CGUCAACGUCCAACUUUAAUAUAUAAAGGAAAUUUGCCCAAAAACAGUGCCAAAUUAAUCAAGACUAAAUUUUUACAUUACAGUUUAAGAGACCCUAAAACGUUUCCGAAAACUGCAAAGCACCACAGGAUUAUGCCAGCAUCCAACUAAUUAAUCGACGGUUCAGCUUCUCUAUGUUUAGUUGAUGAAGUAGCCAACCAAGAUGCCCAGAAGACCGAACAGCACCACAAACAACAACGAAAAUCCGCCACCGCCGUUUUUGCUAAUUUCUUUUCUCAACACAUCCUGCUCAAAUUCAAAAUUUUCUCUUAUUGCCAAAAGGAAAUAAACGAAAACAAACAUGAAAAUGAACUCCGAUAAAGGGGAACUGAAGCAUCAAACACCCAACAAUACAAAUAGAAACAACAGUUCAUAAAAAGGAGAUUGACAGCUGAUGAAGUUAAACGGGGAUACAUACUAGUAGAACCGUUAGCAUAGGGACAAUCAAAAGCAUGAGGCUUGGAUAUACGUAAGAAACUAAGAAUUAAACAAAAGCUGAGCUGAUCUUCCUCCGUCAAUCAAGUCAGUGGAAUGCUCACAAAAUCCUUCACUCAAUCGAGUCAGUGACAACCUCCC
RNAcentral lists this long non-coding RNA (615 nucleotides) under Malus domestica (apple). RNAcentral's name for it is "long non-coding RNA (MDOM_LNC003191)". Lineage: Eukaryota; Viridiplantae; Streptophyta; Magnoliopsida; Rosales; Rosaceae. The record is from RNAcentral.